GUGGGGAAUCUUGCGCAAUGGGCGAAAGCCUGACGCAGCCAUGCCGCGUGAAUGAUGAAGGUCUUAGGAUUGUAAAAUUCUUUCACCGGGGACGAUAAUGACGGUACCUGGAGAAGAAGCCCCGGCUAACUUCGUGCCAGCAGCCGCGGUAAUACGAAGGGGGCUAGCGUUGCUCGGAAUUACUGGGCGUAAAGGGCGCGUAGGCGGACAGUUUAGUCAGAGGUGAAAGCCCAGGGCUGAACCUUGGAAUUGCCUUUGAUACUGGCUGUCUUGACUACGGGAGAAGUGAGUGGAACUCCGAGUGUAGAGGUGAAAUUCGUAGAUAUUCGGAAGAACACCAGUGGCGAAGGCGACUCACUGGCCCGUUACUGACGCUGAGGCGCGAAGGCGUGGGGAGCAAACAGGAUUAGAAACCCUAGUAGUCC
Molecule: ribosomal RNA, 425 nt
Filed under: uncultured bacterium
Lineage: Bacteria
Description: partial 16S ribosomal RNA
Rfam family: Bacterial small subunit ribosomal RNA
Source: RNAcentral